GCGACACACCUACACUUACACGCCUUUUGUUUUGUUCGUUCCAUUUCCUGCAGCAGAGCUGCACUGCAGCUGCGGGUCCAGGUCCCACUGUCAGGGCGCUUCAGCUCGUCUUCGCCGUCGUCGUGUACGGAGCCGCAGCACAGGGCAGCGUGGGCCAGCACCAGGAAGUCCCCGCAGCAACCGCGUAUCCCUCGCCCAAUUCCCGGCCCCAGAAAUCUGAUUUCCGACGGACUGGAGCAGCAGAAUCAGCCCCUUGUAGCAGAGAUGGAGCAUGAUGCAUUUUGCCAGCGAGCCUAAGGUUCGCAGCCUAGCCUGAAUACAAUUAAAGUCUCGAGGUCAUUGUCUUCUAUCAAAUCUGUGAAGCAAGCUGAGAAGAGGCAAUCAGAUAGGAGGCUACGCUGAAAGUAUUACAUCUCAAUUAUAAAUGGAUUCUGGCUGAAAUUGCAUCAUUUGGGACCUGUGUGCUCUUUAGCUCUGCACCAUUAAUAAAGAACGGCCAGUUUAACGACGAAGGCAGCUGUGCCUGUGUGGAGGUUGGCUUGGGGGGGGGGAUCCUUAGGGGAUGGUGGAAUUCAGCCGAGAUGUUCCAGCGAAGUCACGGGUGAGACCGCAGAGCGGCCGAGGAGUGACGGGCCGGUGCUGAGCAGCACAUUUCUGCUUAGUCACCCGGCACGGGGAGACGGAGCGGAAAUACCGUAGUUGUGUGCUGGAUACUGGAAGUCCAUUCCAUUACUGGGAGCUGAAGGAGCUGGUGAGAGCUGUUCUCUCAGCCCUUGGAUAUGAGCCAGGAGAUGUAAGGAACACCACAAACCCAGGUGAAUCAUGGGAAGACGUUAAGCAGAAGCACACAAGGCAGAGGAACACCGUGGAUGGUAUGAGGAACCCGCCUGACCAGCAUUGGCCUGUUAUAUUAUGGACUGUGACCUAGACAGACAUCAUAGAGCUUCAAAAAUAAUGCAGAUCAGCCUCCCCGCUGCAUCAGCUACUCAGGCGAAAUCCCCAAAGAGUCUUCAGCGCUGACCUUUGACCUUUGAGCUCUGGGAGACCAUCGCUGUACACUGGAUGAUGACAUUGCAUGCAAUGGAAGCAAUAAACAAAAAGCUACUGGUUAAAGUCCUUGUCUUGUAAAAUGUAUCUGUCUGAGUUGUAUCUACGAAUUAGAGCGAUGACCAUAUUCUGCGAUUAUUUCCUCGCUAGGAUUCAACAACAAGGAACAGAUGUAUUUACGGCUUUCUGUCCCAUGGUUAGAUGCAGACAGGGUGGGGUCAUUGCCGGAUCCCGGAAGACAAGAAGAUUGCAAACAAAUGUGUUUACAGUCUGAUGCAAUGGAAGGUUCUUGCGUUGCCGGGGUUACGGGAGAUCAAAACAAAAACAGAACAUGUCAAUGUAUACAUAUGGGGGGGUGAUUAAUGUAUAUGCAAAACCCUGUUAAUCUGACAUAUGUCUUAGUAGACAGUAGAUUAAAUUAAGGAACAGAAACACACUACCAGAUUUUUUUAUUCUUGUUAAGCCCUGGAAAGUGAACAACUGGAACUUAACUAAUAGCUCAGAGUCGUUAAAAUCUUAUCUAGCUCUGAU
Molecule: long non-coding RNA, 1578 nt
Organism: Brienomyrus brachyistius
Lineage: Eukaryota; Metazoa; Chordata; Actinopteri; Osteoglossiformes; Mormyridae
Exons: 5
Source: RefSeq, a predicted model, not a curated record